This 508-nucleotide ribosomal RNA is filed under the name uncultured bacterium. Its description in RNAcentral is "partial 16S ribosomal RNA". It matches the Rfam family "Bacterial small subunit ribosomal RNA", at positions 30 to 523 of the family's 1533-position model. The record is from RNAcentral.
AUUGAACGCUGGCGGCAUGCCUUACACAUGCAAGUCGAACGGCAGCGGGGGAGAAGCUUGCUUUUCCUGCCGGCGAGUGGCGAACGGGUGAGUAAUACAUCGGAACGUGCCCUGUAGUGGGGGAUAACUAGUCGAAAGAUUAGCUAAUACCGCAUACGACCUGAGGGGGAAAGUGGGGGACCGCAAGGCCUCAUGCUAUAGGAGCGGCCGAUGUCUGAUUAGCUAGUUGGUGGGGUAAAGGCCUACCAAGGCGACGAUAAGUAGCUGGUCUGAGAGAACGAUCAGCCACACUGGGACUGAGACACGGCCCAGACUCCUACGGGAGGCAGCAGUGGGGAAUUUUGGACAAUGGGCGAAAGCCUGAUCCAGCAAUGCCGCGUGUGUGAAGAAGGCCUUCGGGUUGUAAAGCACUUUUGUCCGGAAAGAAAUGGCUCUGGUUAAUACCUGGGGUCGAUGACGGUACCGGAAGAAUAAGGACCGGCUAACUACGUGCCAGCCGCCGCAGUAA